UACACUCCUGCGGGAGGCAGCAGUGGGGAAUAUUGGACAAUGGGCGCAAGCCUGAUCCAGCCAUGCCGCGUGAGUGAUGAAGGCCCUAGGGUUGUAAAGCUCUUUCACCGGUGAAGAUAAUGACGGUAACCGGAGAAGAAGCCCCGGCUAACUUCGUGCCAGCAGCCGCGGUAAUACGAAGGGGGCUAGCGUUGUUCGGAUUUACUGGGCGUAAAGCGCACGUAGGCGGACUAUUAAGUCAGGGGUGAAAUCCCGGGGCUCAACCCCGGAACUGCCUUUGAUACUGGUAGUCUUGAGUUCGAGAGAGGUGAGUGGAAUUCCGAGUGUAGAGGUGAAAUUCGUAGAUAUUCGGAGGAACACCAGUGGCGAAGGCGGCUCACUGGCUCGAUACUGACGCUGAGGUGCGAAAGCGUGGGGAGCAAACAGGAUUAGAAACCCCAGUAGUCCCAUG
This 451-nucleotide ribosomal RNA is filed under the name uncultured organism. Its description in RNAcentral is "partial 16S ribosomal RNA". It matches the Rfam family "Bacterial small subunit ribosomal RNA", at positions 332 to 799 of the family's 1533-position model. The record is from RNAcentral.